CAGUCGCCGCGGUAAUACGAAGGGGGCUAGCGUUGCUCGGAAUCACUGGGCGUAAAGGGUGCGUAGGCGGGUUUUUAAGUCAGGGGUGAAAUCCUGGAGCUCAACUCCAGAACUGCCCUUGAUACUGGGAAUCUUGAGUAUGGGAGAGGUGAGUGGAACUGCGAGUGUAGAGGUGAAAUUCGUAGAUAUUCGCAAGAACACCAGUGGCGAAGGCGGCUCACUGGCUCAUUCUAGACGCUGAGGUGCGAGAGCGUGGGGAGCAAACAGGAUUAGAUACCCCAGUAGUCCCUGUCUCUUAUAC
This 301-nucleotide ribosomal RNA is filed under the name uncultured bacterium. RNAcentral describes it as "partial 16S ribosomal RNA". It matches the Rfam family "Bacterial small subunit ribosomal RNA", at positions 509 to 807 of the family's 1533-position model. The record is from RNAcentral.